This 377-nucleotide unclassified non-coding RNA is filed under the name uncultured Actinomycetes bacterium. RNAcentral's name for it is "uncultured actinobacterium contains 16S-23S intergenic spacer region". Lineage: Bacteria; Bacillati; Actinomycetota; Actinomycetes. The record is from RNAcentral.
UCCGAGUUGACCCCGGCAGUCUCUUAUGAGUCCCCGGCAUGACCCGCUGGCAACAUAAGACGAGGGUUGCGCUCGUUGCGGGACUUAACCCAACAUCUCACGACACGAGCUGACGACAACCAUGCACCACCUGCGCAGGAUCCUUACGGACCCCAUAUCUCUAUGAGAUUUCCCUGCAUGUCAAGCCUUGGUAAGGUUCUUCGCGUUGCAUCGAAUUAAUCCGCAUGCUCCGCCGCUUGUGCGGGGCCCCGUCAAUUCCUUUGAGUUUUAGCCUUGCGGCCGUACUCCCCAGGCGGGGCGCUUAAUGCGUUUGCUGCGGCACGGACGGGGUUGAUAUCCGCCCACACCUAGCACCGAACGUUUACGGCUAGGACUAC